Molecule: ribosomal RNA, 818 nt
Filed under: Leptospora chromolaenae
Lineage: Eukaryota; Fungi; Ascomycota; Dothideomycetes
Description: partial large subunit ribosomal RNA
Rfam family: Eukaryotic large subunit ribosomal RNA
Source: RNAcentral
UUGCCCUAGUAACGGCGAGUGAAGCGGCAACAGCUCAAAUUUGAAAUCUGGCUCUUUCAGGGUCCGAGUUGUAAUUUGCAGAGGGCGCUUUGGCAUUGGCAGCGGUCCAAGUUCUUUGGAACAGGACGUCACAGAGGGUGAGAAUCCCGUACGUGGUCGCUAGCCUUUGCCGUGUAAAGCCCCUUCGACGAGUCGAGUUGUUUGGGAAUGCAGCUCUAAAUGGGAGGUAAAUUUCUUCUAAAGCUAAAUACUGGCCAGAGACCGAUAGCGCACAAGUAGAGUGAUCGAAAGAUGAAAAGCACUUUGGAAAGAGAGUCAAAUAGCACGUGAAAUUGUUGAAAGGGAAGCGCUUGCAGCCAGACUUGCCUGUAGUUGCUUAUCUGGACUUUUGUCCGGUGCACUCUUCUGCGGGCAGGCCAGCAUCAGUUUGGGCGGUUGGAUAAAGGUCUCUGUCAUGUACCUCUCUUCGGGGAGGCCUUAUAGGGGAGACGACAUGCAACCAGCCUGGACUGAGGUCCGCGCAUUUGCUAGGAUGCUGGCGUAAUGGCUGUAAGCGGCCCGUCUUGAAACACGGACCAAGGAGUCUAACAUCUAUGCGAGUGUUUGGGUGUCAAGCCCAGACGCGUAAUGAAAGUGAACGGAGGUGGGAACCCUUUGGGUGCACCAUCGACCGAUCCUGAUGUCUUCGGAUGGAUUUGAGUAAGAGCAUGGCUGUUGGGACCCGAAAGAUGGUGAACUAUGCUUGAAUAGGGUGAAGCCAGAGGAAACUCUGGUGGAGGCUCGCAGCGGUUCUGACGUGCAAAUCGAUCGUCAAAUUU